This 164-nucleotide ribosomal RNA is filed under the name Vicia sylvatica. RNAcentral describes it as "5.8S ribosomal RNA". The stretch from base 1 to 139 matches the Rfam family "5.8S ribosomal RNA", at positions 18 to 154 of the family's 154-position model. Rfam says of the family: 5.8S ribosomal RNA (5.8S rRNA) is a component of the large subunit of the eukaryotic ribosome. It is transcribed by RNA polymerase I as part of the 45S precursor that also contains 18S and 28S rRNA. Lineage: Eukaryota; Viridiplantae; Streptophyta; Magnoliopsida; Fabales; Fabaceae. The record is from RNAcentral.
AUCUAGGCUCUUGCAUCGAUGAAGAACGUAGCGAAAUGCGAUACUUGGUGUGAAUUGCAGAAUCCCGUGAACCAUCGAGUCUUUGAACGCAAGUUGCGCCCGAUGCCAUUAGGUUGAGGGCACGUCUGCCUGGGUGUCACAUAUUGAAGCCUCCUGCCAAUAUC